GAUGAACGCUAGCGACAGGCCUAACACAUGCAAGUCGAGGGGCAGCACAUGAGUAGCAAUACGAUGGUGGCGACCGGCGCGACGGGUGAGUAACACGUAUGCAACCUGCCUUCUACUAUGGGAUAACCCGUUGAAAGACGGACUAAUACCGUAUAAUACAGGGGCUCCGCAUGGAGAUAUUUGUUAAAGAUUUAUUGGUAGAAGAUGGGCAUGCGUAUGAUUAGAUAGUUGGUGAGGUAACGGCUCACCAAGUCAACGAUCAUUAGGGGUUCUGAGAGGAAGGUCCCCCACACUGGUACUGAGACACGGACCAGACUCCUACGGGAGGCAGCAGUGAGGAAUAUUGGUCAAUGGACGAGAGUCUGAACCAGCCAAGUCGCGUGAAGGAAGACGGUUCUAUGAAUUGUAAACUUCUUUUGUGCAGGAAUAAAGUGGGUUACGUGUAACCUUUUGUAUGUACUGUACGAAUAAGGAUCGGCUAACUCCGUG
This 489-nucleotide ribosomal RNA is filed under the name uncultured bacterium. RNAcentral describes it as "bacterial SSU rRNA". It matches the Rfam family "Bacterial small subunit ribosomal RNA", at positions 28 to 507 of the family's 1533-position model. The record is from RNAcentral.